AAGGCCCAAGUCCACAAGACAGAAAGAAUAGGUGAAAAGUCCAUGUCAUCUCAUUUUUGGAGAUGGACAUGGACAGGGGCUGAAACUGCAGUAUCAGCAGAUGGGGAGCUUAAGAAGGAAGCUAGUUCAUGGCACAGCACCCGUAAAGUCCCCAGAAUUGGAGGCACCAGAUUCUUCUGAAAGAAAAGGAGCAAUUCAGCACUUGUCAUGGAGAUAAGAGGUCAACACCCCAGGACGGAGUGAAAACCUAAGAUGGACUCAACGACUCUUACCGUCCAGCUCUCAAGUCCCUUCUCUUGUGAAAAUGGAAAAGUUGAACUACAGUUGAGAUAUUAUUCCCAGGUGUUCUUUGGAACACAGGGGAUUUCUCCAAAAGACACAGAACAAAUUGCCUCCAAACAGCCAAGAUUCCAGCAGAAGCUGGAGUAGCAGACUGCUUGGAUCUUCAAAGUACCUGGCCCUGAGUCAGUUAAGGAAGAUCGUUUCUUCUCUUUUGUACAAUCCUAUGAUGAGAGCUGCAAAGUGAACUGACUAAGAGCUUCUGCCUUCAUCAUUGACCUCCCAAUCCUAAUAAUAUGUUCACUGGCCAAACUUCCUAAUCGAUUUGUCUUUUGGAUAUAACGUUCCUCCUACUGUUUGCCUGAUUGAGAAAUCUGCUACAGAACAUGACCGGUUAGCAUUCCCACCAACCCCAGUGCUACACUGACUGUCUUUCGAUGGACUUUGCUCCUUGCUGCCUCUCUGAGGUCCCAGACCUUCAGAGUGACCUUCACAGCUCUGCCUAACUUUCUGUCAUACUUCUAUCAAGAGAGACAGCUAAAUCAAUAUUUUUAAUGUGCUUUGCUGUCAGAAUUCGAUGAUCUGUCACAGUUCUUGCCCAAUACACCCCAUCAUUAUUGUUAAAAUGUUUUUAGCUUUGUUUGUAGAAUUGCUUUAACUGGUUUCAUCUCUGGGAGCUACACUUUGAAAUAUAACUUUAGCAACAUUUUACUAUACUUUUUCACAACCCAGAGCAGUACUAUUUUAUGCUUAGUGGUUAAUCUAAUUCCAUAAAUCUUUUGCAACUAUCCUCUAUUCUUUUUCUUGUAAUUUUUACCUGGGAAGGUUUUUACUGAUAAUCAUCCUAUCCUGAGUCAUCCCACAAACCAAUCUGUCUCACUAAUCAUUGCUUCUAACCUACAGACUAAGCAUAACUUCUGCUAAAUGAUCUUUGAUAAGAUGCUAUGACUCUAUAAACUCUUUGAUAUUCAUGUCUAAAUUUAAUCACUUGUAGAUUUUCAUAGAAUCAAUCUUUCACUUCUACAAUUGGGAGUAUUUAUAAGUUGUUUAUCUUAAACAGUUCCUCUAUCACGC
This 1353-nucleotide long non-coding RNA is filed under the name Pan troglodytes (chimpanzee). RNAcentral's name for it is "long non-coding RNA NONPTRT011618". Lineage: Eukaryota; Metazoa; Chordata; Mammalia; Primates; Hominidae. The record is from RNAcentral.